This 500-nucleotide ribosomal RNA is filed under the name uncultured bacterium. RNAcentral describes it as "partial 16S ribosomal RNA". It matches the Rfam family "Bacterial small subunit ribosomal RNA", at positions 30 to 523 of the family's 1533-position model. The record is from RNAcentral.
AUUGAACGCUGGCGGAAUGCUUUACACAUGCAAGUCGAACGGCAGCACGGACUUCGGUCUGGUGGCGAGUGGCGAACGGGUGAGUAAUGUAUCGGAACGUGCCCAGUCGUGGGGGAUAACGUAGUGAAAAUUACGCUAAUACCGCAUACGAUCUAUGGAUGAAAGCGGGGGAUCGCAAGACCUCGCGCGAUUGGAGCGGCCGAUAUCAGAUUAGGUAGUUGGUGGGGUAAAGGCCCACCAAGCCAACGAUCUGUAGCUGGUCUGAGAGGACGACCAGCCACACUGGAACUGAGACACGGUCCAGACUCCUACGGGAGGCAGCAGUGGGGAGUUUUGGACAAUGGGCGAAAGCCUGAUCCAGCCAUUCCGCGUGCAGGAUGAAGGCCCUCGGGUUGUAAACUGCUUUUGUACAGAACGAAAAGGUUUCUACUAAUACUAGGAGUUCAUGACGGUACUGUAAGAAUAAGCACCGGCUAACUACGUGCCAGCCGCCGCGGUAA